Molecule: ribosomal RNA, 253 nt
Filed under: uncultured bacterium
Lineage: Bacteria
Description: partial 16S ribosomal RNA
Rfam family: Bacterial small subunit ribosomal RNA
Source: RNAcentral
UACGGGGGGGGUAAGCGUUGUUCGGAAUUACUGGGCGUAAAGGGCUCGUAGGCGGCCAACUAAGUCAGACGUGAAAUCCCUCAGCUUAACUGGGGAACUGCGUCUGAUACUGGAUGGCUUGGAUCCGGGAGAGGGAUGCGGAAUUCCAGGUGUAGCGGUGAAAUGCGUAGAUAUCUGGAGGAACACCGGUGGCGAAGGCGGCUCACUGGACUGGUACUGACGCUGAGGCGCGAAAGCGUGGGGAGCAAACAGG